GCAGGGGACCUUCGGGCCUUGCGCUAUCAGAUGAGCCUAGGUCGGAUUAGCUAGUUGGUGAGGUAAUGGCUCACCAAGGCGACGAUCCGUAACUGGUCUGAGAGGAUGAUCAGUCACACUGGAACUGAGACACGGUCCAGACUCCUACGGGAGGCAGCAGUGGGGAAUAUUGGACAAUGGGCGAAAGCCUGAUCCAGCCAUGCCGCGUGUGUGAAGAAGGUCUUCGGAUUGUAAAGCACUUUAAGUUGGGAGGAAGGGCCAUUACCUAAUACGUGAUGGUUUUGACGUUACCGACAGAAUAAGCACCGGCUAACUCUGUGCCAGCAGCCGCGGUAAUACAGAGGGUGCAAGCGUUAAUCGGAAUUACUGGGCGUAAAGCGCGCGUAGGUGGUUCGUUAAGUUGGAUGUGAAAUCCCCGGGCUCAACCUGGGAACUGCAUUCAAAACUGUCGAGCUAGAGUAUGGUAGAGGGUGGUGGAAUUUCCUGUGUAGCGGUGAAAUGCGUAGAUAUAGGAAGGAACACCAGUGGCGAAGGCGACCACCUGGACUGAUACUGAC
RNAcentral lists this ribosomal RNA (557 nucleotides) under Pseudomonas sp. Its description in RNAcentral is "bacterial SSU rRNA". It matches the Rfam family "Bacterial small subunit ribosomal RNA", at positions 202 to 744 of the family's 1533-position model. The record is from RNAcentral. Lineage: Bacteria; Pseudomonadati; Pseudomonadota; Gammaproteobacteria; Pseudomonadales; Pseudomonadaceae.